CCCGCAGAAAGCUGGCCGACGGGAGCGGGAAGAGAUCAGCCGAGCCCUCGCAUCAGCCUUCCCCCUGGGGCAUGUGCACCGUUGGGAAGAAAUUAAACAGAAUUUGUCAAACAAAAAUGAGAACAAGAAUAAGAGAAUAAAAAUACAAUGACAGGUA
RNAcentral lists this long non-coding RNA (157 nucleotides) under Laticauda laticaudata (blue-ringed sea krait). RNAcentral describes it as "lncRNA (ENSLLTG00000012929.1)". Lineage: Eukaryota; Metazoa; Chordata; Lepidosauria; Squamata; Elapidae. The record is from RNAcentral.